This 798-nucleotide ribosomal RNA is filed under the name Maltzanella sp. MT1. RNAcentral describes it as "partial 16S ribosomal RNA". The record is from RNAcentral. Lineage: Eukaryota; Metazoa; Mollusca; Gastropoda; Stylommatophora; Helicidae.
UCUUAUAAUAAGGCUCAUCGUUUUGAAGUCACGAAGGAGAGUGAGCUAAAUAUAUAUGUUUUAUAGAGCGCUGUGCGUUGCAAAGCAGAAGAUAAUGUAUAUUUAGGGGUGAUAGGCCUUUCAAAUUCUCUGAUAGCUUGUUAUGUGUUAAAAAUAUUUAGUAUUUAAUCAAACUUAAAAAGCUAAGCUUUUAAGUUAUCAUAAGGUUAGAUAUAGUGUUUGUAAUAUAGUUUAAUAGCUUGUUAUAUAGAAUAAAAAUAUAACUUUUUAAUUAUUAUGGUUAGUAGCACAUUUUUUAAUYUAAUGAGCAAGUAGAAAAUGUAAGAAUAAGUAGUCACGUUAAAUAUAGCCAAGGAACUCGGCAAAGUAACUAUUCAACUGUUUAUCAAAAACAUAGCUAUAUGAUAUAUUAUAUAGUUGUUUCUGCUCCAUGACCCUAUAAAUAGCCGCAGUACUCUGACUGUGCUAAGGUAGCAUAAUCAAUUGGCCUUUAAUUGAGGUCUAGGAUGAAUGAAAGAAUGGGUAGUAUCUGUCUGGUUAUAUUUUUACAAAAUUUGUUAGUAAGUGCAAAUACUUACGUUAUCCUAAAAGACGAGAAGACCCUAGAAACUUAUUUUAUUUUGCUGGGGCGGCAGAAUUACAUAAAACUAAUUUUUUUACUUGACUAAAUUGAGCUAGAACAAGUUACUCUAGGGAUAACAGCAUAAUUUAAAUAGUUUGUGACCUCGAUGUUGGAUUAGGUAUAACAUUUUUAAGAGAAAAAUGUUAUUUGCUCUGUUCGAGCAGUUUUACCUACAU